RNAcentral lists this ribosomal RNA (253 nucleotides) under uncultured bacterium. Its description in RNAcentral is "partial 16S ribosomal RNA". It matches the Rfam family "Bacterial small subunit ribosomal RNA", at positions 524 to 776 of the family's 1533-position model. The record is from RNAcentral.
UACAGAGGGUGCGAGCGUUAAUCGGAAUUACUGGGCGUAAAGCGCGCGUAGACGGUUAUUUAAGUCGGGUGUGAAAUCCCCGGGCUCAACCUGGGAAUGGCAUUUGGGACUGCAAGGCUAGAGUGUUGCAGAGGAGACUGGAAUUCCUGGUGUAGCAGUGAAAUGCGUAGAUAUCAGGAGGAAUACCGGUGGCGAAGGCAGGUCUCUGGGUUAACACUGACGCUCAUGCACGAAAGCGUGGGGAGCAAACAGG